RNAcentral lists this ribosomal RNA (429 nucleotides) under Bacillota bacterium. Its description in RNAcentral is "Firmicutes bacterium partial 16S ribosomal RNA". It matches the Rfam family "Bacterial small subunit ribosomal RNA", at positions 355 to 776 of the family's 1533-position model. The record is from RNAcentral. Lineage: Bacteria; Bacillati; Bacillota.
UAGGGAAUCUUCGGCAAUGGACGGAAGUCUGACCGAGCAACGCCGCGUGAGUGAAGAAGGUUUUCGGAUCGUAAAGCUCUGUUGUUAGAGAAGAACGUUGGUAGGAGUGGAAAAUCUACUAAGUGACGGUAACUAACCAGAAAGGGACGGCUAACUACGUGCCAGCAGCCGCGGUAAUACGUAGGUCCCGAGCGUUGUCCGGAUUUAUUGGGCGUAAAGCGAGCGCAGGCGGUUCUUUAAGUCUGAAGUUAAAGGCAGUGGCUUAACCAUUGUACGCUUUGGAAACUGGAGGACUUGAGUGCAGGAGGGGAGGGUAGAAUUCCAUGUGUAGCGGUGAAAUGCGUAGAUAUAUGGAGGAACACCGGUGGCGAAAGCGGCUCUCUGGUCUGUAACUGACGCUGAGGCUCGAAAGCGUGGGGAGCAAACAGG